Molecule: ribosomal RNA, 1601 nt
Filed under: Klebsiella pneumoniae
Lineage: Bacteria; Pseudomonadati; Pseudomonadota; Gammaproteobacteria; Enterobacterales; Enterobacteriaceae
Description: partial 23S ribosomal RNA
Rfam family: Bacterial large subunit ribosomal RNA
Source: RNAcentral
GGGUUGUGAGGUUAAGCGACUAAGCGUACACGGUGGAUGCCCUGGCAGUCAGAGGCGAUGAAGGACGUGCUAAUCUGCGAAAAGCGUCGGUAAGGUGAUAUGAACCGUUAUAGCCGGCGAUGUCCGAAUGGGGAAACCCAGUGCAAUUCGUUGCACUAUCGUUAACUGAAUACAUAGGUUAACGAGGCGAACCGGGGGAACUGAAACAUCUAAGUACCCCGAGGAAAAGAAAUCAACCGAGAUUCCCCCAGUAGCGGCGAGCGAACGGGGAGCAGCCCAGAGUCUGAAUCAGCUUGUGUGUUAGUGGAACGGUCUGGAAAGUCCGACGGUACAGGGUGAUAGUCCCGUACACCAAAAUGCACAGGCUGUGAACUCGAAGAGUAGGGCGGGACACGUGGUAUCCUGUCUGAAUAUGGGGGGACCAUCCUCCAAGGCUAAAUACUCCUGACUGACCGAUAGUGAACCAGUACCGUGAGGGAAAGGCGAAAAGAACCCCGGCGAGGGGAGUGAAAAAGAACCUGAAACCGUGUACGUACAAGCAGUGGGAGCACCUUCGGGUGUGACUGCGUACCUUUUGUAUAAUGGGUCAGCGACUUAUAUUCUGUAGCAAGGUUAACCGUAUAGGGGAGCCGCAGGGAAACCGAGUCUUAACUGGGCGUUAAGUUGCAGGGUAUAGACCCGAAACCCGGUGAUCUAGCCAUGGGCAGGUUGAAGGUUGGGUAACACUAACUGGAGGACCGAACCGACUAAUGUUGAAAAAUUAGCGGAUGACUUGUGGCUGGGGGUGAAAGGCCAAUCAAACCGGGAGAUAGCUGGUUCUCCCCGAAAGCUAUUUAGGUAGCGCCUCGUGAACUCAUCUUCGGGGGUAGAGCACUGUUUCGGCUAGGGGGUCAUCCCGACUUACCAACCCGAUGCAAACUACGAAUACCGAAGAAUGUUAUCACGGGAGACACACGGCGGGUGCUAACGUCCGUCGUGAAGAGGGAAACAACCCAGACCGCCAGCUAAGGUCCCAAAGUCAUGGUUAAGUGGGAAACGAUGUGGGAAGGCACAGACAGCCAGGAUGUUGGCUUAGAAGCAGCCAUCAUUUAAAGAAAGCGUAAUAGCUCACUGGUCGAGUCGGCCUGCGCGGAAGAUGUAACGGGGCUAAACCAUGCACCGAAGCUGCGGCAGCGACACUAUGUGUUGUUGGGUAGGGGAGCGUUCUGUAAGCCUGCGAAGGUGACCUGUGAGGGUUGCUGGAGGUAUCAGAAGUGCGAAUGCUGACAUAAGUAACGAUAAAGCGGGUGAAAAGCCCGCUCGCCGGAAGACCAAGGGUUCCUGUCCAACGUUAAUCGGGGCAGGGUGAGUCGACCCCUAAGGCGAGGCCGAAAGGCGUAGUCGAUGGGAAACAGGUUAAUAUUCCUGUACUUGGUGUUACUGCGAAGGGGGGACGGAGAAGGCUAUGUUAGCCGGGCGACGGUUGUCCCGGUUUAAGCAUGUAGGCUGGUUGUCCAGGCAAAUCCGGAUAAUCAAGGCUGAGGUGUGAUGACGAGGCACUACGGUGCUGAAGUAACAAAUGCCCUGCUUCCAGGAAAAGCCUCUAAGCAUCAGGUAACAUC